Molecule: long non-coding RNA, 679 nt
Filed under: Monodelphis domestica (gray short-tailed opossum)
Lineage: Eukaryota; Metazoa; Chordata; Mammalia; Didelphimorphia; Didelphidae
Description: lncRNA (ENSMODG00000036701.1)
Source: RNAcentral
AACUCAUCAGUCAGUCAAUAAAUAUGUAUUAAGCACCUAUGUAUGCUCUGGAGAUACAUAGGAAGGCGAAACAGUUCAAUCCCAAAGAGCCACAUUCUUAAGAGAUGGUAGUUUUGUCAAAGAGCACUUGGAUGAGUGGAUGGAUGGAUGGAUGGAUGAAUGGAAAAGACGAGGACUGUUAAAUCCUACUUUUGCUGUAACGCUUUGAGGAAUACACAGCUUAAUGCCCCUGUAGCAGAUGUGUGGUGAUAGGAAAGGACUUCAGAAACUUCAGAGAAAGCUGCAUCUUCUGCAAAAGGAGUCAAGAAGGCCUCUCCUCGGAUUCUGUGAGUCUUCAGCAUAUGCAUGAAGGAGAAGGCUGAGGUUGCCUGCGUGGCAGUCAUGACAAAGGUCCAAGCAGUUCAUUCAAGCCAUACGUAUGAAGCCCCAUUGAAAAAAAUCUCAUUUCUGCAUUCAAGAUAAGAAUCAUUGAUAAAAAUUUCAAACAUCACAAAGCUAAGAAGAGAUCCAUGGGAUACUUGACUGGAGAUCUGCCAUGAUGACCCUGGACCAUUAGCAACUACUCUUAAAAUCCAAUUAUGUGAAUAGUUUUGAAUUCAUUUGGUUGCACUGCUGUCUAAUCUUUAUUACUCCAUUUUCACCACAGAAAUAAGAGGUACUUUUUCAAAAGCUUUGGUAA